Molecule: ribosomal RNA, 398 nt
Filed under: uncultured bacterium
Lineage: Bacteria
Description: partial 16S ribosomal RNA
Rfam family: Bacterial small subunit ribosomal RNA
Source: RNAcentral
CUACGUAGGGUGCGAGCGUUGUCCGGAAUUACUGGGCGUAAAGAGCUCGUAGGUGGUUUGUCGCGUCGUCUGUGAAAUUCCGGGGCUUAACUCCGGGCGUGCAGGCGAUACGGGCAUAACUUGAGUACUGUAGGGGAGACUGGAAUUCCUGGUGUAGCGGUGAAAUGCGCAGAUAUCAGGAGGAACACCGGUGGCGAAGGCGGGUCUCUGGGCAGUAACUGACGCUGAGGAGCGAAAGCAUGGGUAGCGAACAGGAUUAGAUACCCUGGUAGUCCAUGCUGUAAACGGUGGGCGCUAGGUGUAGGGGUCUUCCACGACUUCUGUGCCGUAGCUAACGCAUUAAGCGCCCCGCCUGGGGAGUACGGCCGCAAGGCUAAAACUCAAAGGAAUUGGCGGGG